AUUGAACGCUGGCGGCAGGCCUAACACAUGCAAGUCGAGCGGAUGAGGGGAGCUUGCCCCUGGAUUCAGCGGCGGACGGGUGAGACGUGCCUAGGAAUUUGCCUGGUAGUGGGGGAAAACGUCCUGAUACGGGCGCUGAUCCCGCAUACGUCGUGUGGGCGGAAGUGGGGGAUCUUCGGACCUCACGCUUUCAGAGUGGCGUAGGUCGGAUUAGCUAGUUGGUGGGGUAGAGGCCUACCAAGGCGACGAUCCGUAACUGGUCUGAGAGGAUGAUCAGUCACACUGUAACUGAGACACGUCCCAGACUCCGACGGUGGGCCGCAGCGGGGAAUAUUGGGCAAUGGGGGAAAGCCUGAUCCUACCAUGCCGCGUGUGUGAAGAAGGUCUUCUGAUGGGAAAGCACUUAAAGUUGUAGGGAAGUGCAGUAAGUUAAUACCUGGCUAUAUUGACGGUACCAACAGAAUAAGCACCGGCUAACUUCGUG
Molecule: ribosomal RNA, 484 nt
Filed under: uncultured bacterium
Lineage: Bacteria
Description: partial 16S ribosomal RNA
Rfam family: Bacterial small subunit ribosomal RNA
Source: RNAcentral